UCGACCGGCGCACGGGUGAGUAACGCGUAUCCAACCUGCCUUACACUCUUGGACAGCCUUCUGAAAGGGAGAUUAAUACAAGAUGUUAUCAUGAGUAAGCAUUUCGCAUGAUUAAAGGUUUACCGGUGUAAGAUGGGGAUGCGUUCCAUUAGAUAGUAGGCGGGGUAACGGCCCACCUAGUCUUCGAUGGAUAGGGGUUCUGAGAGGAAGGUCCCCCACAUUGGAACUGAGACACGGUCCAA
Molecule: ribosomal RNA, 242 nt
Filed under: uncultured bacterium
Lineage: Bacteria
Description: partial 16S ribosomal RNA
Rfam family: Bacterial small subunit ribosomal RNA
Source: RNAcentral